Molecule: ribosomal RNA, 1333 nt
Filed under: uncultured bacterium
Lineage: Bacteria
Description: partial 16S ribosomal RNA
Rfam family: Bacterial small subunit ribosomal RNA
Source: RNAcentral
AGAGUUUGAUCCUGGCUCAGGAUGAACGCUGACAGAAUGCUUAACACAUGCAAGUCUACUUGAUCCUUCGGGUGAUGGUGGCGGACGGGUGAGUAACGCGUAAAGAACUUGCCUUGCAGUCUGGGACAACGUCUGGAAACGGACGCUAAUACCGGAUAUUAUGAUUGAAUCGCAUGAUUUGAUUAUGAAAGCUAUAUGCGCUGCGAGAGAGCUUUGCGUCCCAUUAGUUAGUUGGUGAGGUAACGGCUCACCAAGACGAUGAUGGGUAGCCGGCCUGAGAGGGUGAACGGCCACAAGGGGACUGAGACACGGCCCUUACUCCUACGGGAGGCAGCAGUGGGGAAUAUUGGACAAUGGACCAAAAGUCUGAUCCAGCAAUUCUGUGUGCACGAUGAAGUUUUUCGGAAUGUAAAGUGCUUUCAGUUGGGAAGAAGAAAGUGACGGUACCAACAGAAGAAGCGACGGCUAAAUACGUGCCAGCAGCCGCGGUAACACGUAUGUCGCAAGCGUUAUCCGGAUUUAUUGGGCGUAAAGCGCGUCUAGGCGGUUUGGUAAGUCUGAUGUGAAAAUGCGGGGCUCAACUCCGUAUUGCGUUGGAAACUGCCAAACUAGAGUACUGGAGAGGCAAAUGGAAUUCCAUGUGUAGCGGUAAAAUGCGUAGAUAUAUGGAGGAACACCAGUGGCGAAGGCGGUUUGCUGGCCUGCAACUGACGCUGAGGCACGAAAGCGUGGGGAGCGAAUAGGAUUAGAUACCCUAGUAGUCCACGCCGUAAACGAUGAGAACUAGGUGUUGGGGAAACUCAGUGCCGCAGUUAACGCAGUAAGUUCUCCGCCUGGGGAGUAUGCACGCAAGUGUGAAACUCAAAGGAAUUGACGGGGGCCCGCACAAGCGGUGGAGUAUGUGGUUUAAUUCGAAGCAACGCGAAGAACCUUACCAGGCCUUGACAUCCCGAGCGAAGUUAUGGAGACAUAAUGGAGGUUAUCUCGGUGACAGGUGGUGCAUGGUUGUCGUCAGCUCGUGUCGUGAGAUGUUGGGUUAAGUCCCGCAACGAGCGCAACCCUUGUCUUUAGUUACUAACAUUAAGUUGAGGACUCUAGAGAGACUGCCGGUGAUAAACCGGAGGAAGGUGGGGAUGACGUCAAAUCAUCAUGCCCCUUAUGGCCUGGGCUACACACGUACUACAAUGGCAGCUACAAAGAGCAGCGAACUCGCGAGAGCAAGCAAAUCUCACAAAGGCUGUCUCAGUUCGGAUUGGAGUCUGCAACUCGACUCCAUGAAGUCGGAAUCGCUAGUAAUCAAAGAUCAGCAUGCUACGGUGAAUACGUUCUCGGG